RNAcentral lists this signal recognition particle RNA (267 nucleotides) under Actinomycetota bacterium. Its description in RNAcentral is "signal recognition particle sRNA large type". It matches the Rfam family "Bacterial large signal recognition particle RNA". Rfam says of the family: The signal recognition particle (SRP) is a universally conserved ribonucleoprotein involved in the co-translational targeting of proteins to membranes. Lineage: Bacteria; Bacillati; Actinomycetota. The record is from RNAcentral.
CCGUGCUAGGCGGGGGGGUCGGGGUCCCCUACACCGGAAAUCCUCGAUACGCCGGGCUGAUCAACCGUCGGCGGCCGACGAGGGACCGUGCAGCCCUCGGUAAGCAGCGUUGAUGGUCGGGUCCCGCGCGACCCGGAGCCGUGAACCCGGUCAGGCCCGGAAGGGAGCAGCCGUAAGCGGUGUACCGGGAGUGCCGCGGGGUAACCGGGCCGGAGCCGGCUGCCGGGGAUAGCGGCGGCCGUUCGUCGGUCCACGGCGGGGGCACGG